Molecule: ribosomal RNA, 497 nt
Filed under: uncultured bacterium
Lineage: Bacteria
Description: partial 16S ribosomal RNA
Rfam family: Bacterial small subunit ribosomal RNA
Source: RNAcentral
GAUGAACGCUGGCGGCGUGCCUAAUACAUGCAAGUCGAGCGAACAGACGAGGAGCUUGCUCCUCUGACGUUAGCGGCGGACGGGUGAGUAACACGUGGAUAACCUACCUAUAAGACUGGGAUAACUUCGGGAAACCGGAGCUAAUACCGGAUAAUAUAUUGAACCGCAUGGUUCAAUAGUGAAAGACGGUUUUGCUGUCACUUAUAGAUGGAUCCGCGCCGCAUUAGCUAGUUGGUAAGGUAACGGCUUACCAAGGCAACGAUGCGUAGCCGACCUGAGAGGGGGUUAGGCCAAACGGGACGUGGGCCGCGGUCAAGACUCCUACGGGAGGCAGCAGAGGGGAAUCUUCGGCAAUGGGGGAAAGCAUGACGGAGCAACGCGCCGUGGGCGAUGAAGGCGUUGGGAUCGUAAAACUCUGUUAUAGGGGAAGAAAAAAUGUUUAGGUAACUAUGCUGGUCUGGACGGUACCUAAUCAGAAAGCCACGGCUAACUACGUG